This 1399-nucleotide ribosomal RNA is filed under the name uncultured bacterium. Its description in RNAcentral is "partial 16S ribosomal RNA". It matches the Rfam family "Bacterial small subunit ribosomal RNA". The record is from RNAcentral.
ACCGGCGCACGGGUGCGUAACACGUAUGCAACCUGCCUAUAACUCUGGGAUAGCCCGUUGAAAGACGGAUUAAUACCGGAUGACACAUAUUUUUCGCAUGAUUUUUAUGUUAAAGAUUUAUUGGUUAUAGAUGGGCAUGCGUAUGAUUAGUUAGUUGGUUGAGGUAACGGCUCACCAAGACUACGAUCAUUAGGGGUUCUGAGAGGAAGGUCCCCCACACUGGUACUGAGACACGGACCAGACUCCUACGGGAGGCAGCAGUGAGGAAUAUUGGUCAAUGGACGCAAGUCUGAACCAGCCAAGUCGCGUGCAGGAAGACUGCCCUAUGGGUUGUAAACUGCUUUUAUACAGGAAUAACGGACACUACGUGUAGUGUUAUGCAUGUACUGUAUGAAUAAGGAUCGGCUAACUCCGUGCCAGCAGCCGCGGUAAUACGGAGGAUUCGAGCGUUAUCCGGAUUUAUUGGGUUUAAAGGGUGCGUAGGUGGAUGUUUAAGUCAGUGGUGAAAGUUUGUGGCUCAACCAUAAAAUUGCCAUUGAAACUGGAUGUCUUGAGUUCAAGUGAGGUUGGCGGAAUAUGUUGUGUAGCGGUGAAAUGCUUAGAUAUGACAUAGAACUCCUAUUGCGUAGGCAGCUAACUGGUAUGACACUGACACUGAUGCACGAAAGCGUGGGUAUCAAACAGGAUUAGAUACCCUGGUAGUCCACGCCGUAAACGAUGAAUACUAACUGUUUGCGAUAUAUUGUAAGCGGUACAGCGAAAGCGUUAAGUAUUCCACCUGGGGAGUACGUUGGCAACAAUGAAACUCAAAGGAAUUGACGGGGGCCCGCACAAGCGGAGGAACAUGUGGUUUAAUUCGAUGAUACGCGAGGAACCUUACCCAGGUUUGAAAUGUAGAGGCUUUUGGUGGAGACACCAUUUUCAUUUUAUGACUUCUAUGUAGGUGCUGCAUGGUUGUCGUCAGCUCGUGCCGUGAGGUGUCGGCUUAAGUGCCAUAACGAGCGCAACCCUUGUCGGUAGUUACCAUCAGGUAAUGCUGGGGACUCUACCGAGACUGCCAUCGUAAGAUGCGAGGAAGGUGGGGAUGACGUCAAAUCAGCACGGCCCUUACGUCUGGGGCGACACACGUGUUACAAUGGGGAGUACAACGGGUUGCUACUUGGUGACAAGAUGCUAAUCUCUUAAAUCUCUUCUCAGUUCGGAUCGGAGUCUGCAACUCGACUCCGUGAAGCUGGAUUCGCUAGUAAUCGCGCAUCAGCCAUGGCGCGGUGAAUACGUUCCCGGGCCUUGUACACACCGCCCGUCAAGCCAUGGAAGCCGAGGGUACCUAAAGUACGUGACCGCGAGGAGCGUCCUAGGGUAAAAUUGGUAACUGGGGCUAAGUCGUAACAAGGUAACC